This is a long non-coding RNA of Zootoca vivipara (common lizard), 5239 nucleotides long. RefSeq lists it as uncharacterized. NCBI's taxonomy places the organism in Eukaryota, Metazoa, Chordata, Lepidosauria, Squamata, Lacertidae. The record is from RefSeq and is a predicted model, not a curated record.
AUUAUUAUUAUUAUCAUCAUCAACAACAGUUUGCCUCGGUAUAAGGAAAAAACGAAGCAGCAGAUCAAAAAAGAACUUUCCCUCUGUUCAUUGCCAUGGGCACCUCAUCCCCAUAAACAACAGAGGUGCAAAUAGUUUUCUGGGGAUUUGUUGAUGUGAGGGGGAUGUGAGCUGGCUUCAGUGGAAAGGGUUUGACCAAACCCACCCACCAGAUUUUAGCACAAGUCCAUUCCCCCCACCCACCCAAAGUCUAGCUAGCUCUGCCCUCUUUCCUAGUUCUGCACUGAGCAUAACAGGAUGUCAUGUCUUCGCUGGAAAGUGAUGCUUUUUUUUCCAGCGGAUGUGCAAUCGCCCACUGCCGACUUCUGCAAAAAAGCACUAGCUGAUUUUGCAGAAAUAUAGGUCAGGAGGUAGAGGCACCCCAGACAAGCCUGUUUGUUCCAGAUGACGUCUGUGUCUCGUGGAGGGCACAGGGUUUUCCAAAGUGGUCAUUGGGACCAGCAAGGAUGUUGUCACUGUUCAGCUGAUCGCCAGAGCUUGCAAAAGGACAGAGCAGCUGCUCUGCAUGCAGAAGGCCCCCGGUGUCCUCCCCAAUGGUAUCUCCAGGUAGGGUUGAAAACCCUGGAGAGCAGCUGCUAGUCAGUGUUGACAUUUUUGAGCUAGAUGGUUGGCACCCGUCUGUCUCAGGAAAAACUGAGGAGUGCGCCUUUGGAGAUGAAGUCAAACUGUUGGAGAGUUACAGCGCCUGCUGUGGCUGUGGAGACCGAUACGGGAGAGGCAUGCUUUGUUGCAGCUGGGGCAGAUGAAGGCGUCCGGUUCUGCUGCUGCGGAUGCACCACGGCGUUUCUUCUCUCUGCACUGCUCCCAGCAGUCAUUCCUCCUCUGGUCACUGCUAUGAAUGUCCGACCUGUCUGUCUCCAGGCACUGUGGUCAUCUGCAAGGGAUCCCCACAUGGCGGUGUUGAUACCGGUACUGCCAGCCUUUGUGUCACAUUUGCAGACCUCUUUGUGACACAGAGCUGGUCUGUCAACAGAUCUGGUGCCUGAAGCCAGCUCCCCGCAGAGCAUGGCCUUGGGGAUCCUGCCGUCUUCCAUUCUGUGCACAUGGCCAAGCCAGCGUAGAGGUCACCGAGACAGAAGCGUGAUCAUGCUCAGAAUGUAGGCUUGGGAGAGCACAUCUUUCUUUGAGACUCUGUCCUGCCAUGUGAUGCCCAAAACCAUGGCAUAACUUGGUACAAGUUUUCUAUGUUCAUAUUUAAAUCAGCUCUUUAUUCAGAAUCAUGAGGAGCAUAAUAUUUUUAAGGGAAAGACUGAAAUCAUGGAGAGCCACUACCAGUAAGCAUCAACAAUACUGAGCUAGAUUAGAAACAAAAAUACAUUUAGUAUUUAUUUUAAGGCAUUUAUAUACCACUCAGUUGUCUGGUAUUUCUAAGAGCUGUGCCUAAAAAUGAGCCAUACAGAGAAUAAACUAAAAAUCAUAAAAGCCCAACAGACACCUGCUAGAAUAAGGAAGUAUUUGUUGUGCAGCUGAAGUUCAGCAUGGAGGGGAGCUGUCAGGUGAGAGGGAGUUCCACAGACCAACUUCAUUUCUUCUAGUAGCUACAAGCCAAGCAUCUCAGCCAUGGGUGACCAUCAGCAGAGACUCCCCCAAGAUCUCAGUCAUCAGGUAGGGAUACAAGGGGUCAGGCAGUUGUCAGACCAAAGGCCAGGGGGAAAUGUGUGGGUAUUAUGACCCUGGGACUUUUCUGGAACCUAGGGUUGGUGCUCAGCUUCCCAUCUCUCAAAGGGACAAAAUUUGUUGCCAAUUGGAACGAAACCUCAGCAAAGGUGAGAGCCAGCAUCUAUCUCACUCUGCCCCUGGGCAGCCCACCCUGAAUUUCAGUUGCAACUGAAACCCUGAAACUGAAACUCUGCGGGCUCUGAGGACUGUCUUUGAAAGACAUGCCCGUUCUUAUGUAAGCAGAUUUAGCAGGUCGCUGGAGAUUGCAUCACCGCAACCCUUUUGUGGGAACAUACCUGAGGAAAUAAAAUAAACACCAACGCACACCUAUUUUUAAAAAGUACAUGCUGUAUUCAGAUGUCACAAAAAUGACGUAUGACAAGCCCAAACCUGUCCUGAGUUGCACUUAGGGACUGCCAAUCAUUAUUUCUUUUUCUAUUUUGAGAAAGAUGCAAAUAGAUUAGCAAAAGACAGUGUCUUCCUCUUCCUCCUGGGAAAACCAGAAAAACUCACCUCUCUAUUAAACAACAAUUGCUCAUGGAUCUGAGCUUCAUCAAUUCAGGGUGGGGAGCAAGUUUCUAGCCCUCAUUGUGGCAGGAAAACGCUUGACGCCAAUGAAGCUUUCUACCAAGGGUAGGUACAACUCCCAAUAGCCUCAGCAAGCAUGGCCAAAGGGUGGAAUAUAGUGAGGGAUGUGCACGAGUAUCUGUAGAAAGCAGUCUUCUGUACAAGGGCAAUAUUUACAACAUUUACAAAGUGUGUCGUUCCACACACUCUUGCCCCUGGCCCCUGGGAGGUUGCCCAGAAAGGAAUGCGGCCCUCAGGCUGCAAAAGUCUCCCUCUUCUUUUCUUUACAGCCUGGCUGAGUCAUGCAUUGAAGAAGCCCCUGGAACAUCCGGGAUCUUGCUGGACGAAAAACGUCCUCCUGAGACUUUGGCCCUUCUCAAACCCUGAGAUAAUAGAAUUCUCAUGUAUGACUCCCCAUAAACUUAAUCAUCAAACAAGCCUCAAAGUCCUACACAUAAAAAAGAGGGCAAAGUCUCUAGCAAUAACGUUUCUAGAAGAUAAGAGUAGACCUUCGACUGCGGAGAUAUCCUGGAAUAAUCUGCACCCUGCCUUGGGUGCGGAGGGACCCCAAGCUCCACAAAGAAACUACACUGAGACGGAGCAGGUUGAAAUAUCUUAGGAGUCAGGAUCAACCUAGCUCAACUUUCCCCAACCUGGUGCCCAUGAGACAUUUUGGACUACGACUCAUAUGUGGGGCUUCCCUAGACCCCAGCUAGGCCAAAGUCUCCAGCUGGUACAAAGCUCUGUGGCUAGACUGGAGUAUCUCCAGCGCAUAACUCCAGUGUCCAGAAGCCCCCACUGGUUGCCCCUACGUGACCAAGCCAGGUUCAAGUCGUUGUAAUUUACAAGGCCCUUAACAGCCUGAGUCCAGGAUACCCCGAGGACUGCUUGAGCCCUUAAAUCCCUGCCCCAUCACUGAGGUUUUUAUUACUCAGGUGCGCAGUUCUGAUCACCCAUAGAUCAUAGAAUUGGAAGGGGCCACGAGGGUAAACUAGUUCUAUCCCAUGCAAUGCAAGAAUAUUUUGCCCAUUGAGGGGCUCGAACACCUGAGACUAAAAGUCUCAUGCUCUCCUGACUGAGCUAUGCCGAAAGUGGUCCGUUUUGUAGGCCCAAUUUUAAGAAACUCCCCACCAGUUGAGGUCUGGGAUGCCCACUUUCCCUGUUGCACAUGGUAUUUUCCCUCCUUGUCCUGUAGGCUUAACAAUGUAAAACUGAAAGUAGGGAAAGGACACAGAGGUGACUGAAGGCCCCAGGCACAACCUGAGACCCUCCCAGCAUUGGGUGAAGACUCAGCUAAUUUCCCCUAUCCUUUAACUUGAAAACAACGGAGCGAUUCAAAGAUCCUUCAAAUAUUUUGGGGUGGGGUCUCAAGAACAGUGGAACCAUUGCAAAUCUCUUUGGGGAAUGGCUGUGACUUUUAACAUCUUUGAACUUGCCCUUUGGCAUGUCUUCACUAUAUGGCUUUGGGCGAAUGCUGAAGAAGACACACACCUUUGACACCUGAGCUGUGUUGUUUGAGAACCCUCCCUAUUCCUGCGACUGUAACAUUCUUUACUUGUGAUCUUUGGGUGAAGGGUGGUAAUAAAUCGCCAUCAUCAUCAUCAUCAUCAUCAUCAUAUCCAGAGCACAGCCCAAGAAUCUCCUGACUCAGGCUGAGUGGGCAGAAACAGGAGUGGUUGCACCUUGCUACCUGGAAUGCAGAGCAACACCUGAAUGCAGAAAACACUGAUCUGGUGUUUUGGGCCAGGCUCAUUUGACACAGUCCUUGACAUGCCCCUUUCCUUCACCAGAGGGUCACAUUCCCUCCCUGGGUAACCUCCUAUGGUAGGCGGGGCCAGAGGCAAACGUAGGCGGGGGCCAGGCACGUGAGUCUUUACCUUUGUAAGGACAAGCAAGAGGCACAAGCACAGAUCAAGGACAUGUUUGAACCAGGCAAAAGCGCUCAAGGAAAGUGUGACCAGCACGGUUCUUUACCUCCCUGGCCACCUUUGAGAGGAAAAGCAAGACGGAAAUUCCUUCCUGCAUUCAUAAAAAUGUAAGGUGUUGUCACCCUCUUCAGGCAAGCUGUUUAACGCAGGGCGGAGGCACUUUACACAGUGGUUUAGCAAGCUGCUGUGUGAAGCUCCUCCCCCUUUAAAAGGGGGUGGAGCUUGGGCAUGGUGGGAGGGGCUUGGGUGAGCUGUGGGUGGACAGGCGAGGGAUGGGUGAGGUGUAAAGGUCAGAUGUGGGCGAAGGGCAAAACAGGAGGAGGGGUUGGCAGCCCCUACCCGGUCAUAACUGGGUCAUGCCAGGAAAACCAAAGAAGAAUGUUACGUCAGAAGAGCACUUUCGUCUGUUUCCCUGGACCAGUUUCUGCUUGAGAAAUCACAUGGGAUUUUGGUUGUUGUUUCGUUUCACUCCGCCGCAAAGAUAACUGAAUGGAAACUACAAGUGGCAGCUUGGGAAUUUGAGGGUGGGGGGGAAACGGACGCUUUGCUACCCGAAGCCAAAUUCAAACAUGCCUCUGCAUCCGGGGGCUCAACAAAAAUGUAAUUUACUUUCGAUUGAUUCCAUCAGGCUCCACUUUAAACGGCCGGCUUAGAAGCAACCAUCCGUCAGGCGACAGGAGAGAAAAGGAACCACAGAGCUUCCUUAUCCGCUCAGCUGAGAGAUCAGAAGUUCCAGCUUUUUCCUCUCCUUGAGCUUGUUCCACUCCAGCCGGUUGUCACAAGAACCUUGCAAUGAAGAUCUAGUGCCCAAUUUUGCUUUGCUCCUCCCCCCUUCUAUUUCCCCAUCACUUUUUCCUUUUGUGCUACAUCUUUUAGAUAGUAGGCCAGAAUGCAAAGAUUAUUAUCGCAGAGAUUGCAUUGCCAGCCAGCUCUUUUUGAGGCUUGACAUCUUUGUUUUUUAACUGUGAUUUUCAUUGGGCAAUAUGUAUUUAUAUGAAAGCAGAGUUUAUAAAUACUGAAAUAAA